This 497-nucleotide ribosomal RNA is filed under the name uncultured bacterium. Its description in RNAcentral is "partial 16S ribosomal RNA". It matches the Rfam family "Bacterial small subunit ribosomal RNA", at positions 28 to 507 of the family's 1533-position model. The record is from RNAcentral.
GAUGAACGCUGGCGGCGUGCCUAAUACAUGCAAGUCGAGCGAACGGACGAGAAGCUUGCUUCUCUGAUGUUAGCGGCGGACGGGUGAGUAACACGUGGAUAACCUACCUAUAAGACUGGGAUAACUUCGGGAAACCGGAGCUAAUACCGGAUAAUAUUUUGAACCGCAUGGUUCAAAAGUGAAAGACGGUCUUGCUGUCACUUAUAGAUGGAUCCGCGCUGCAUUAGCUAGUUGGUAAGGUAACGGCUUACCAAGGCAACGAUGCAUAGCCGGCCUGAGAGGGUGAUCGGCCACACUGGAACUGAGACACGGUCCAGACUCCUACGGGAGGCAGCAGUAGGGAAUCUUCCGCAAAGGGCGAAAGCCUGACGGAGCAACGCCGCGUGAGUGAUGAAGGUCUUCGGAUCGUAAAACUCUGUUAUUAGGGAAGAACAUAUGUGUAAGUAACUGUGCACAUCUUGACGGUACCUAAUCAGAAAGCCACGGCUAACUACGUG